UACGUAGGGUGCGAGCGUUAAUCGGAAUUACUGGGCGUAAAGCGUGCGUAGGCGGCGCGUUAAGACAGGUGUGAAAGCCCCGAGCUUAACUUGGGAAUUGCGCUUGUGACUGGCGUGCUGGAGUGUGGCAGAGGGAGGUGGAAUUCCACGUGUAGCAGUGAAAUGCGUAGAGAUGUGGAGGAACACCGAUGGCGAAGGCAGCCCCCUGGGCUGAGAUUGACGCUGAGUGCACGAAAGCGUGGGGAGCAAACAGG
Molecule: ribosomal RNA, 254 nt
Filed under: uncultured bacterium
Lineage: Bacteria
Description: partial 16S ribosomal RNA
Rfam family: Bacterial small subunit ribosomal RNA
Source: RNAcentral